RNAcentral lists this long non-coding RNA (5489 nucleotides) under Homo sapiens (human). RNAcentral's name for it is "HSALNT0302747". Lineage: Eukaryota; Metazoa; Chordata; Mammalia; Primates; Hominidae. The record is from RNAcentral.
CAAAGAGGGAAAAACAUGAGGACAUUGUGUGUGUGUGUGUGUGUGUGUGUGUGUUGCUGUAAUGAUGGGAGGGAGGAUGCAAGGCAGGACUUACGGGUCCUAGCCAGCUGUGCUGCACCUGGUCCGUGAGGCAGUGUGGAGUCCACCGAAACGACCCUCAAGCCUGAUGCCAGUUCCAGAAGCCCAGUCGGCAACUCUGCCACCUUACACUCCUCUCCCCGUGGAACUGCCUGGGGGUGCUGGCAUGGGGACAUGAGGGAUGUCUGACAGGAGAAACAAGCAUUUCAAGAGUGUGUGGUUGGCUUCGCUGUCCUUUGGGGGGAGGAACUGGAAUCAGUCAACAGGCAAGCCCGACUCCCAGUUCCAGCCUGAACACUGGUCAGCUGAAGACAACGCUGCCACCUUCAUCUCUUCCCUGCCUGUCCUGCUUACAACAGUUGCAAGAAGUUUAUACCCACAUUAAGCCCCCAGAGGCAGGCUGGCAGCCAGCCUUCGCCACUGGUGCAGAGAACUGAGUCAACCACCCGGUGUUCCUGGCUGCUCCCCCUGAGAAGCUUUCCCACCCUGUUCCCUGAGUCGAGAGUCUUGGCUGGGCACCUGCUGCACUGUGGACGUGCGGACGCGGCCUCCAGAAGGGGGAAGGGAGCCCUGGCUGGCUUCUCUGAGACGUGUUGAGUGGCUUGCCAUUGAAGACUGUUUCCUCACUCAGGCAGCUGCAUGCCCCAAACUUAUUUUGCAACUGGCUUCAAACAAUUUGAAGAAAGGGUCAUGGCUUUCCCUUCAGCAGAGUUUGGGAUCUGAACACUGCGUUGCCCCCAAAUGUCUGCCUCUUGAGAGUUCUCCACCCAGUGGUCCUGCUUGCGUCUUUGGAGGACGGUAGCAGUGCGCUCAGUGGAGGCCACGGGUGCCUCAGAGGGAUUUCUCUUGGACCUCCUGCCCUACCCCAGCUUCGGCGUUGCACUUGGAGAAGGCCCUGGAUAUCUCAGGGUGAUCUUCAUGCUCAUUCCAUGGCUAGAAUGGAAGUGAUUUCCAGGACCACCUUGAGAGCCAUGUGUUGAAGGUGCUGGGGAGAGGAGCAGUGAGCAAACACAAAAUCCCUGCCUGUUUAGAACUGAUCUUCUAGUGGUGGUGGUUGGGGCUGGGAGCAGCUGGACAGUGAAUUACUAAGAAGGGAUGAUCCUUGCCUCCCACCCUGUCACUGAAGACCAGGAGAAGAGUGAUCCCCCGAAAUGCCCUCAGCUCCUGAAAUGCCCACUGUCAACAUUCUUGGUUACAGACAACGGCAACACCUGUUUCAAGAAUAAAAUGGAUCUAUUGAAUAUUUGGGAUCAUUAGGAGUUGAGGGGCAGGGAAAGCAAAUUCCAGGUUAAGUUUCCAGAAAAAGUGCCCCAACCGCACUGUAGAACUGGCCUGAAGAUGAAACCACCAUUGCAGCUACUGAGAACUCAAUGAUAAGAACUUGUCAUUUCUACCCUGUGCACUGCUGCUUCCCAAGAACUGAUGCUACCGUGUCAGCGAAGGGAUUCCCUUGCUGAGCCCAGUUCCUUACACUGCUCACUUCAUUUCUAAAGCAAAAUCUUAUGCAGGUGUGUACAAAGACAGAACUAUGUCACAGGCCUGCAUUCUAACUGCAAGAGAGGCUGGCAGUUUGAGUUGUGACUACAAUGGGGAGGCAAGAAUGCUAUCAUGAGAUUUUCCCCCAUUAUAGAAAGGAUUGGCAAAGAUAGAGCCAAAGUUCCCUGUAGGAGAUGUGUACAGAAGGUCUGAUGAAAAUUCGAAGUCUUAUUCAGAACAAAAGGCCUAGAUAACCUUCCAGGGACCCUGGAAAGAAUGAUGCCUAGGAAGGUGGCUUCUGUCAUGAAGUGAUCACCAACCAUGGCAAUGUCAACUGGGGAAUGGCAAGGGGGAGUGCUGGGCAUAGGGUCCAGCUCCCAGGAAACUAGAAGGAGCCCAGGAAGCUAGAAGGCAAGCUUAUGUCAGCUUGGUCUUUUUAACAGGGCUCCACCCUGCCAAGAGAACAAGGCCUACAUGGGAAAUUAUGAAGAACACACACACGCAAAAAAAAAUCUGAGUUUGCUUUGUGUAGGGAUUUAAUUACUGACUUAUCCUGAUGCUUAUGUAUACUUGCAGCUUAGAAAAGUGAAGACAUCUUUCUGGGACAGUUCUGGGAAACAGAAGCCCAUGCGCACUAAAAGGAACCAAGGAAUGUUUUCCAUGUAUCCUGAGCUGGACACCAAACAAAUGUGUUCCUCUUUCUUUGCUCACUUAGAAGUCUUCUUCCUGUCCUGGGUUAAUUGACUUCAACUUUGAAGGAGAUGAUGUUUAUUUUCAUCUUCGAAUCUGACCUGAUACCAUUUAGAAAUUAUGAAUAAAUUUUAAUACAUUGGAACCCUAUGUUAAACCACAAUGCAUGAGUGGAUGAGUCACAAUUCCAAGACAGCUCAAUGCCCCACACAACUAAGACACAGAUGACUUUGGUGCUCCCCAAAUCACUUUCCCAUGAAGGGCAAGGUUCUCUCGGCAGGGUGGGGCAUGGUCAGAAAGGAGAACUUCAGCUUCUGCUUCAAAACAAGCUUCCAGGCUCAGAUGGGCCCUGCUGUCUCAAACACUGCUCUUCACCCUGCCACGCUUUGUCCUUGCUGGGCUCGCCAUCCUUCAAGGGCCCCCCUCCAGGAAGCUGCCCUCUCGUGGCAGGCAUCUUGCUGGUAGCUCCCAAUUAUUUUGUGAGAUGGGAUGCAGAACAGAGUUGCUUUGGAAGCCCUGGAGGGUAUUGAGGGUCUGACUUUUGGGCCGCAGGACCUCUGCAAAGCCUGAUUCCUUGAAGACAUCACUUUGACUUACUUGGUCCCAGAGCCUGUCUUGUUUUUAAUUUCCCUGCUAAGUUUCUGUUCUCCAGCAACAUAUAACCCCCUUUUUCUACUUCAGUAACCUCAGUGGUAGCUCUCACCAUGUUAAACAACGGUCUGAUUUGGCAUGGAAAAAAAGCAGUCAAUUGUUCCCUUUAAAUCUUAAUGUUUUCAGCCCUGGGAACAUUUGAAGUAACUAUUUAAUGAGAAGACUUCUGGUGAAGCAUAGGUAAGAUCUUAAAGGCUCUAAUUGCUCCCCAGAGAAAGCUGUCAGGGCUAAGUAACCUCAUUCAGGUUGUGUACGCAGAGCAGGGAGAGCAAAACAAGGCAGAAGUGAAGAGUGGAGGCUGAGGGGGCAGAAGUCACAGAGACUUCUCGAACCUGGAAGUAUUUCUGGAGUUGUGCCUUGCACUGUCUGUUUUGGGUACCUGCUGGCUGACUGCUAUGCCCCCAAAUGGUCAAACAAAUGACUUACUCUUUCCUGGGUCUAGUUGCCUUCUAAUUUGGAACUCAAAUUAUAGUUCUUUCUUCUCCUCUUUCAUUUAAAUACAAAGCAAAACAAAACAAAAUCUGAAACUAUUUUUCCUUCUAACCCCCACGUGAACUUUUUAUUCCUUUUAUUUUUAUUCAUUUGCUUAUUCACUGCACAAAUAUUCAUCAUGUUUCCCCGGGGUUUCAGGCACUGUCCUAGGCACUAGGGAUGCACCCUAUUGUUUAUGCAUUGUUGAUUUAGUGGCAAUAAGAUAAAUUUCUGCACAAGGGACAAGAUAACAGAUGCACACCCCAUCUGCUGCCAGGGGGCACCUCCUAAGCCAAUAUCCCCUGCCUCUAAGUUUGGGCUGUGUGAGGUAGAACAGGGGAGUUCUGCCAUACAAUAGUAAUGUUCACUGUGUGCCCAAGGCACGUGGAGAGUGAGGCACUUUGGAAAUUGGGCUCAAAAUGACUUCUUAUUUAACUGAAACAAAAAGCCCUUUGUGUGAGCCUUGCUCCCUCCAGUCCAUGGAGGCGGUCUGUUUGCUCUGACAGCAGCCCCGCAGUCCCUGAGCUGCCUCAGGUGAAAUGCUGCCUGGUUGCCAAUGGCCACACUGCUUGUGACCAUUACAGGGCCUAAGUGGGUUUGGGAGCCAUACGCUUGGAAUUAAGUAAGAAAAAUGGAGGCGAAAGCAGGGCACUCUGCAGCCUGUACUAUUCAGUCUUCUCUUGAUGUGACUGAGACUUAAAUUGGGAAGUAUUUGGCUGAUGGCGAGGUCAGAUAAACGUUACGGAUUUGAUGUAAUCCCAGACCUCAGACUUGAAACGGAGCUUGACCCUUCCCUUUGAGCACUUUUAUGCAAUGCUACUGGACAUGUAGUAACAAGAAAGGAAACAGAGGGAGGAUAUCGGUGCAGCCACGUGUUGAGUCUGGGAGAGAAAAUGACAGCGGGAGCAAGAUAGGAGAUGUGAAUCAAAUCAGGGGUUGAAACAGCAAAAGAGAAUUCCACAAAGUUAGAGCUAGUGACGGGGAUGAUAUUCCAUGAUACGAUUUUGGGGAAGGGGGCUAGGAAUGUCAUCUGGCUGUUUAGAAAUCCAGUAUAACCGUAUGGCCUGAAAUUCAAUGUAUAAUUAUUACAAAUUGCACUUAUGUGUCCUCGUAAGGCUAAGUGUGGGGGUGGGUGGAGCAGCUUUCACUUUGCCUGGUUUUCACACGGGGAAACUGAGGCACAGGAAGUUUCUAUGACUUGCUCGGGGUUGUACAACUGGUGGCUAAAUUUUGUAUAAAAUAUAGUGUGUGUAUCCUGUCUUUCCAUGGUGAUGAUGCCUUGAAUUUGUCAAGUACAUUUGCAUUUAUCAUCUCAUUGGAGCAGCCCAACAACCCUGCAGGAGGUGGAAUGUGUGAGAAAACCAAGGACCAGUGAACACUGAAAAUGGACUGGAAUUCCCAAUUCUUGGGCACUUUCUAUGUGCUUUGUGCCUUGCGCAUGCUGUCUCAAAAAAUACCAUCUUUUAAAGAUAUAAUUUAUCGCUCUUUUGGAGAUGGGGAGGCUGAAUUUUGGGAAGGGUAAGAGAUAUGCCCAAGAGCACCCAAUUGGUAAAUGGUAGACUUGAGAUGCAGCUCUAGGUGUAUGACCCUGAAGCCUGGGCUGUUCCAUGACAGCAGAUGACUCCUACCACCUGCUACCUGCCUGUGGACACCCGGCAGCCCAUCAGGGCAGAGUUGGCCUUAGAACUCCAUUUCUCCACUCCUAACGUUUCCACCAGACCAAGCAGCUUGCACAAUAACAGCUUUGUGGUGAAUAGCAGAAGUGUGGAAUCCGAGAGGCCUGAGUUUGGUUCUGGGUUCUUCUACAUGCUAGCAAAAGGUCUAGGGUAAUUCUUCGGUCUCUCACAGUGGUCCAGUUGCCACCUGUAUAAAAUAAAGAUGAAAACUCCCCCCUGGAAGGACUGUAAUGAGAAUUAGUGCGUGUAAACUGCUGACAGCUCUCAGGGUGUGGUGAGCGCUCAAGUAGUGAUGGGUGUAGGGAGGGACAGCUGGGCGCUUGUUUCCUGACUUGGUCUCUACAUGUUGCCCUGUCCUGUCUUUCUCAUUUCCACAGGUAGGCACACAGUUUCCUUUACUUAUUUUUGAGAAAGGGUCUUGUUCUAUCACCCAGGCUGGGGCAUAGU